This 68-nucleotide transfer RNA is filed under the name Marmota monax (woodchuck). RNAcentral's name for it is "tRNA.Ala". Lineage: Eukaryota; Metazoa; Chordata; Mammalia; Rodentia; Sciuridae. The record is from RNAcentral.
GGAUUAUGGCUCAGAGGAAGAGCGCUUCUCUCGCAUGCAUGAGGCACUGGGUUCAAUCCUCAGCACCA